RNAcentral lists this long non-coding RNA (439 nucleotides) under Bos taurus (domestic cattle). RNAcentral describes it as "long non-coding RNA NONBTAT031556". Lineage: Eukaryota; Metazoa; Chordata; Mammalia; Artiodactyla; Bovidae. The record is from RNAcentral.
UAAAACUGUAAAUAUGUUUAGAUAAAAGAAUCCUGCUGGAUCAGAAAUGAAUGUUUUAUUAAGUCAUCAAGCCCAAUCAUUAGAGGUAUUUUUUCUCUGUAAAAUUGACUUAAGGCAGUUUUCAAAAACCUUUUAAAACUGUUUUAAGAAAUGGUUCUCUUUAGUAAAUCUCUAUUAUGUCUGUAUUCUGUCCUUUUACUUAUGUCUAACUUUAAUCAACUUGAAUACAGACCCUCAAGUUAUUUAGAUAAGUCUUCAAAUCAGAUGAAAUUGUUUUAACAUUUGAAACCCUGCCUCUUAAUAUAAUGAGUAUUUACUUCUGUGGAGGUUCAGCAUGCAUAUUUUGAUGUGACAGAUUAAUAAAAAGAAUAUUUAUAUUUGCCUACUGGAAGGUAGUGUUUCCUUGGGAUACUGAAUAAAGGACUUACUGUGAACCUGU